AUACGUAGGGGGCGAGCGUUGUCCGGAAUGAUUGGGCGUAAAGGGCGCGUAGGCGGCGCGGUAAGUCUGGAGUGAAAGUCCUGCUUUCAAGGUGGGAAUUGCUUUGGAUACUGCCGCGCUUGAGUGCAGGAGAGGUUAUCGGAAUUCCCGGUGUAGCGGUGAAAUGCGUAGAGAUCGGGAGGAACACCAGUGGCGAAGGCGGGUAACUGGACUGCAACUGACGCUGAGGCGCGAAAGUGUGGGGAGCAAACAGGAUUAGAUACCCUGGUAGUCCACGCUGUAAACGAUGAUUACUAGGUGUGGGGGGACUGACCCCUUCCGUGCCGCAGUUAACACAAUAAGUAAUCCCCCUGGGGAGUACGGCCGCAAGGUUGAAACUCAAAUGAAUUGGCGGGG
Molecule: ribosomal RNA, 396 nt
Filed under: uncultured bacterium
Lineage: Bacteria
Description: partial 16S ribosomal RNA
Rfam family: Bacterial small subunit ribosomal RNA
Source: RNAcentral